GCUGCCCGUCGUUGGCCGACGCUCUGGAGGGACUGCAGGAUGUGGAGCGUUACUACCGGCACCUGUACCUGGAGAUCAGAUUGUUCCUCCUGCUCAUCAGCUGUGACAGCCUGGCAGACAUGGAAGCCCUCCCACAGGCCUGGGAGAGGAUUUUGGAGCGCUAUGGGGAAGACACUGUGCAAGAUUCUUUUCUUAAGAUCUCUCUCUUUCUGGACAACCAGUGACAGCUGCACUGCUGGCAAGGCUUCAGAUGGAGAGCAGGCAGGACUGAUGUUGACCAGCUUGUGUGAACAUGUGGUAUAUCCUGAGAUAACCACUAAGAGGAAGAUUACUUGAGGCAGUGUUUAGAAGGUGGAUGAGGUGACCUCUAUAGGAAGUGCUUGGAGUGUUCCAUUUUCAAGCUGAGAUGGAUUGUGUUUGAGGAAGAGGUUGAGCUCAACAGGUCAUGACAAUAGAAAGAAAUUGUCUUCAGCUACGGAAGUUGUCUUUCCUUUUUCCCCCCCAGUGAUGUUUUAUAUGCUGAAAGAAAUUUUGUGACUGACUAACUUGUAAACAAGCGGCAAAACGCACUGCAAAUAAAGGUAACAUGAGACACAGCAGGUUGAUGGGAAAGUGUUUUAGAUAACAUCCUUUAAAUAAAAGAUGUUGUAUCAGGAAUUAUAAGUAGUUUGUACAUUGUC
This is a non-coding RNA of Meleagris gallopavo (turkey), 680 nucleotides long. The record is from RefSeq and is a predicted model, not a curated record. Lineage: Eukaryota; Metazoa; Chordata; Aves; Galliformes; Phasianidae.